GUUGAACGCUGGCGGCAGGCCUAACACAUGCAAGUCGAGCGGAUGAAGGGAGCUUGCUCCUGGAUUCAGCGGCGGACGGGUGAGUAAUGCCUAGGAAUCUGCCUGGUAGUGGGGGAUAACGUCCGGAAACGGGCGCUAAUACCGCAUACGUCCUGAGGGAGAAAGUGGGGGAUCUUCGGACCUCACGCUAUCAGAUGAGCCUAGGUCGGAUUAGCUAGUUGGUGGGGUAAAGGCCUACCAAGGCGACGAUCCGUAACUGGUCUGAGAGGAUGAUCAGUCACACUGGAACUGAGACACGGUCCAGACUCCUACGGGAGGCAGCAGUGGGGAAUAUUGGACAAUGGGCGAAAGCCUGAUCCAGCCAUGCCGCGUGUGUGAAGAAGGUCUUCGGAUUGUAAAGCACUUUAAGUUGGGAGGAAGGGCAGUAAGUUAAUACCUUGCUGUUUUGACGUUACCAACAGAAUAAGCACCAGCUAACUUCGUG
Molecule: ribosomal RNA, 484 nt
Filed under: uncultured bacterium
Lineage: Bacteria
Description: partial 16S ribosomal RNA
Rfam family: Bacterial small subunit ribosomal RNA
Source: RNAcentral